UUGAGCUUAAGAGAAACAAAAACGAGGCCUCAAUUAGUCAGAUUGCGUCAGUUAUUCACCAAAAUCAGAAGAAAACUACAGAUACCUAGGCUGUAAUUGGUUACAAAGAAUACGUCAGAUCAAGAGGAUUCGAGCUAGAGUUUCUCAUGCGGUACCGGAACAAUCUUCAAUCUCGUUCUACUGCAGUUUCCGAUAGCACAAAUGAAAGAUGUGAUUUACUACAAUAUUGAAAAUGGCUUGAUUAACG
Molecule: long non-coding RNA, 247 nt
Organism: Dendronephthya gigantea
Lineage: Eukaryota; Metazoa; Cnidaria; Anthozoa; Malacalcyonacea; Nephtheidae
Exons: 4
Source: RefSeq, a predicted model, not a curated record